Molecule: long non-coding RNA, 735 nt
Organism: Tympanuchus pallidicinctus (lesser prairie-chicken)
Lineage: Eukaryota; Metazoa; Chordata; Aves; Galliformes; Phasianidae
Exons: 3
Source: RefSeq, a predicted model, not a curated record
UUUCACAGCCCUGGCAGCCUGGCUUCUCUGGACCCAACUCAAUAACUUUGCUUCAAGCUCAUUGCAAUUUGUACAGCUCAAAAGAAGGCUCAGAUGAGCACUCCGGUCUGGCUGCUCAUCACUACAUUUCACUUGGCAUGUAGGCUACGGAUGAGGAAUGCACAGAAUUUCCUUUUCCACCCCGUCAGAUCCUCUGUCUUGAGCCUGGCCCAGCCCCAAGAGCACAACGGAUGCAGCUGGAGAAGGGCAGGUCCAAUCUUGCUGCUCAGCUCCAGUGACACUUAACCUCCUCUGCUGCUGAGCUGCUUGCAGCUGGCAGUGGAUGCUAAUGAGCAUCAGCCUACUGAAAUGGCUCAUCAGGGAAGGAAGGGGAGUUGAUUUCUUUGACUGGAGAAGGCAAUAGAAGCUGGAGCUUUUGUGGGAGAAGAUGAUGCUCAAUCUCAGUGAAGGUGGUCUUUGGUUGUGCAGCUUGGUUUUCCUAUUGCUGUCGAUCUGUUUGAUAAGGGAUCGGUGUCCUGCUACUUGUCUGCAGCAGCUGCCUCAUAUCUGCUACCUUAUGGAUCCCUUCCAACUCAGGAUAUCCUAUGAUUCCUCCUUCAUCAUCCUUCUGCUGAACCUGGGACCUCCACAGUGAGCAGCUAAAGAAGGGAUGGAGCUGCAGCAGAAGCAUUCCUGCUCAUAUCAGACAGCUGUGGAUGGCAAUGGGUCAUUUCACUCCAUUAUGGUUUCUGGCAA